This 141-nucleotide microRNA precursor is filed under the name Olea europaea subsp. europaea. Lineage: Eukaryota; Viridiplantae; Streptophyta; Magnoliopsida; Lamiales; Oleaceae. The record is from RNAcentral.
AGUGCAUCUAUGAGAUCGGGAUAGCAUUUGAUUCCUUCUUUACUUAUCCGACACAUAUAUAUAUAUAUAUAUAUAUAUAUAUAUAUAUGUGUCGGAUAAGUAAAGAAGGAAUCAAAUGCUAUCCCGAUCUCAUAGAUGCAC